UACAGAGGUCCCAAGCGUUGUUCGGAUUCACUGGGCGUAAAGGGUGCGUAGGCGGUCGGAUAAGUCUGAUGUGAAAUCUUCGAGCUCAACUCGGAAACUGCAUCGGAAACUAUUCGGCUGGAGGAUUGGAGGGGAGACUGGAAUUCUCGGUGUAGCAGUGAAAUGCGUAGAUAUCGAGAGGAACACCAGUGGCGAAGGCGAGUCUCUGGACAAUUCCUGACGCUGAGGCACGAAAGCUAGGGGAACAAACAGG
This 253-nucleotide ribosomal RNA is filed under the name uncultured bacterium. RNAcentral describes it as "partial 16S ribosomal RNA". It matches the Rfam family "Bacterial small subunit ribosomal RNA", at positions 524 to 776 of the family's 1533-position model. The record is from RNAcentral.